This 233-nucleotide long non-coding RNA is filed under the name Elaeis guineensis (African oil palm). RNAcentral describes it as "long non-coding RNA (EGUI_LNC054038)". Lineage: Eukaryota; Viridiplantae; Streptophyta; Magnoliopsida; Arecales; Arecaceae. The record is from RNAcentral.
UCAUCCUAAUCAAGAGUCAACUCAAGAUUUCUGUUGUUAACCUUAUGAUUGAUUUUGAUGAUUGUCAAAUUUUGAGUAAUUAUAAAUCUAAUCAUGUGUUUCAAGAAUGAAAAUAGAUCUUUUCAAAUGUUCAAAUUAAAGAAAUAACCCAUGAAAAAGAUCUCCUCAAAAAAAACUAGGUCAAGGACUUUAAAGGAGAAUUUUCAAGUUUUAGACCUAGUGAAGUCAACCCC